Manduca sexta (tobacco hornworm) is the source of this 1144-nucleotide long non-coding RNA. RefSeq lists it as uncharacterized. Lineage: Eukaryota; Metazoa; Arthropoda; Insecta; Lepidoptera; Sphingidae. The record is from RefSeq and is a predicted model, not a curated record. The transcript is spliced from 3 exons.
AACCUUAUGUGGUGGGUGUGAGGUCGAAUUUGUGUUUAGUCCAUCAAUACUUAUGAUUUUCUGUUUCAUGUUUUGUUUGAAUUUAUCGACGACGCUAAUUUUUGUUAUCACAUUUGCAAGGAGUUUAGUUCAGCCUUUAGGAUUCGAUACAAGACAACAUAAUGGUGGUCUCGGUGUAUGUACACCUUUGAUGUACACGUAUACACGUGCUAUACCAAAAUAUCUGUAUGAAGCUCCGUCAUGCACCGUCAGUGCUAGCACAACUGAAGCUGCGUUGGAACCAGAACUAACCAAUUGAUCCCAACCGGAUACCGAUGCCUAUCUACUACCUGUGGAAAUGAUUUCUAGUAACAACCUGCAAUUGGUAAUUGGAUAACUGAUUGUGGACUCGAAGCACGAACUUCAGUGGGCAUUUAAUGUGCCAAAACAUACUCGGGUUAUUGUUUCCAAAUUCAAUAUGCCAGUGAAAACAAAAGGGUUUUCAUAGUGUUUUCACAUUUUAAUGCAGCAUGUGUGAUGAAAUUUGGCACCAUUGUUCUGAAAGGGAUAACACAAACAUAAUAUGCUUUAUGUGGGCAAUCAUAACAGCUUGCAGAUAUUACACGCGAGUGGCUCAUAUGAUAAUCUUUGUGGACUCGCCAAAUAUGGCUGGUAUUAUAUUUCUUGCAAUUGAAAAACGACAAUACAUGGGACAAAUAAUUGACUGCGGAAAUAAAGAAACCUGGUGACUAAGAUAGAUUUAUUGCCAGUGUAAAAAGGCUUGAAUUAUCAGCAAUAACAAAAAAGCCUAUUUAUUGGUUUCAAAAAUAAAUACUGUUUCACAAUAGGACAAUAUUAUGAAUUGAAAAGAAUAGAUUUAAACAGACCUAGUUGCUGUAAAAAUUACAGAGCCGUUUACGGCAAUGGAAUCUAAAAUAAAAAUUUCAAGAGUGAAGAAAUGCAUAGUCUCCAUUAUUUAAAUUUUAUUAGAGAUGGAGAUUCUUCUGUGUUUGCUAAUGUGAAAGAAAAAGUACAACAUGGGAACUAAAUAAAAAAUUGACACCAGUGCACAAGAUUUUAGCUAAUACAAAGCUUCCACACUAUGGAUGAAAUAUUUUGAAACCAAGGUUACUGAAGAACUACUGUGCAAUAAAUUAUUGUACGU